UGAAUGACUUGGAAGAGAACUGUAGAGACACUGGAGAGUAUGAGCCCCGGAAAGUCUUUCCAUAGUGAGAGGGGAUCCAGGACACAAGUGGCAAGGUCCAAGAGGCCCUGGCAUCCUGGGUGGAAAGGGAAAUAUUAAUAAAUGUGAUGACGCGAAACAUUACAGUUGUCUUCUGGUUGCUUCUGCUUCCGUAAUAAAAGGAGAGAUGGGUUUGUUUUUGCCAGUUUCUGUGAGCCUUGGACUGAAACCUUUUCCUAAUUGUAACAUCCUUCACUUUAUCCAGAAGCUGAGCUAGAAGAGCCCAGUUGUCAGGGCUUCUGGAGGUCAACUGGAUGGGGAGAUGUGCCGUGCCCCAACUCUGGCUGAGAACUCACCCAAACUGCACAACUACAGGAUACAGGCAGUGGAAGAACGGCAGACAGAAUUCAGAAUCAGGCCACAAGAACCAGUCAAGUUGUUUAAGCAGUGACGCUUGGGUAUAGGAAGUCUGAAAUCCAUGUGAUUUUUGCUUCUCUGGUGUGAAGACAGCUUGGCAAGAGAUCCUGAUGCAAAAAUGUGACCUUUUAAAACUGAAAUUCAUCUAGAAUUUUCUUCUGGAGAUGAAGAAGUCCUAUGCAACCUGUAACAGCCGCCCCCAGCUCAUUGUUGCAGAAGCUGCGAGUCUGUAUUCGGAGACCAGAUCCAGUGCUGAAGAAGCAAUCACAGGCAUCUCCACAGCUUGACCAUGCUGCUGUCAGCCAGGAGAGGAUGGCGGCCAGGUCCUGCUUUCCCUCAAACCAUACCAUUUGCUUUUAAAUGAAUACAUUUGUUGUAUUUUAGCCCAUUUGGCUGAAUUGUAUUAAAAACAAAUUUAUCUUUCAAACCUUUUACCCUUUAAGAAAUGGAAAUUCAACUAUUUAAUCUAGUCCAUAGGUAAAAUAAUAUAUGGUCUGAUACAUUUGUG
Molecule: long non-coding RNA, 943 nt
Organism: Rattus norvegicus (Norway rat)
Lineage: Eukaryota; Metazoa; Chordata; Mammalia; Rodentia; Muridae
Source: RefSeq, a predicted model, not a curated record